GACAUUAGGGCAGCUGCUUCAUAACCAUUCAUGGUCACCACUGACCAUGCUAAAUAUAGCAGCAAAGCAGAGUUAACAGGCCAGUUAUUUUAAUACAAAUAAGCAAAGCAAGAAGAGGGCUCAAGAUAAUAGCCCUUGACAUUCAAUGUGUAGAAAGUCCCAGAAGAACACUGGCUUCAGUCGUGACCUGUGAGCAGAAAGUGGGUAGCUCUGCUGCAUCACCAAACAGCUCUGUAGAAUCGCCAUUCACAAGGCGCUUCUCAACGGUGUGGUCCGUUACAAGCAAUUCAGCAGCAAAUUCAUGGGAUGCGGAGCAAGGGUGUGCCAGGCCCCCUCACCCAUCCUGAAACUCUAUUCAGAGAACAGUGCACCAACAGCAAACCAUACUCAUGGACACAGGCUGCUUUCUAGUAACACUGAAGACAAAGGAGCUGACUGGUGUAAGAGGAGCCACAAGCAAAGGAUGUGUAGAUUCUUCCCCUACUGAAGGCAGGCGAGCACUUCCCACAGAAGGAUGUCUGCUUGAAGGAUGGGAUGAAGCAUCUCCAAAUGAGGGAUAUCGGGGAUAUCCAUUAGGUUCAGAAGUGGUUGUUGCAUGCCAAUAACCAUGAGGACUGAAUUAAGUGGAGAUGGGAGAGAGAUUUGGGAGUCGUCAGCUUACAGAUCCAAGCAUAGGGACAGAUAAGACUGCCCAGUGCGAAGAAAAGUAAGACCUGCAGCAGCUCAGAAACACCAACAUUUAAAGGAAUUGUGAAAAAAAAAAAAAAAAAGAGUGAAAAAAAGCCCACAAGGAGACUGGACAUUCACUCUCCAAGAAACAAGAGGAAAACCCCCAAGAGUGUGGUAUCACAGAAGCCUAGGGGAAGACUGAGGCAAGGUGAGUUGGGACUGAAAGAACAUUGUCAAAUCAAUAAGGUAAGACUGUAGAAACCAGUGUGGAGAAGAAAAUAUUUAGCAAUAUGGAAGAGCAGAACAGAGACAGACAACUGUCUUCAAAUUUCCAUCUUAUGGAAUAAUAGGCUUGAUUUGCUCCUGAAAUAGGAGACGGACCAAACAACAGAAGUCUAUGCAAAUGGAACAAAGUUCUAUCUACCCAACAAAUAACUGAGCUCCCUUUAAAUGCUAAGUUACCAAUCGCAGACAGUGUUUCAGUCGAGUCCGUUACUGGUUAAGAAGUAUGAUGUUGUCUCUAAAAACAAAAUGAAUUAAAUACACAAAAUUAACAACAACAAAGUUGUGAUGAUUUUUCUCUAAAAACUCAAGUGUGAUGUUGUCUCUAAAAACAAAAUGAAUUAAAUACACAAAAUUAACAACAACAAAGACGUGAUUUGAGUUUUCUUUCAACUGAAAUAAAUUUCAAGGACUAAACUAAAUCUGAACUACUUUACAUUAAAGGGAACAAAA
Molecule: non-coding RNA, 1404 nt
Organism: Macaca mulatta (Rhesus monkey)
Lineage: Eukaryota; Metazoa; Chordata; Mammalia; Primates; Cercopithecidae
Source: RefSeq, a predicted model, not a curated record